Molecule: long non-coding RNA, 300 nt
Organism: Paramacrobiotus metropolitanus
Lineage: Eukaryota; Metazoa; Tardigrada; Eutardigrada; Parachela; Macrobiotidae
Exons: 3
Source: RefSeq, a predicted model, not a curated record
CGUAGGUGUGUGUUCCACACUACCCUCGGCGUCGAAUUAUAAUGAACGGCCCGGCCCGGCCCGUCUUGGGUGUGAGCAGUCAGACGGAUGAAUGGAAUUCCUCGAGGCUGUGCACACAUUUAAUUUGAAUACGAAACAGAUGAAUAGCGCCACGAUUAAUAAACGGGAAUAGCCCUUGCCGGGUUCACUAAUAAAUUCACGUUUUUCCGCCAUCGAUAUUGGAAACGGUUCGACCUUAUGGCUGCAAUUUCUGUACCUGCUGCACCGUCUGCAUCGGAGGCCCCGUACAAUAUACGUCGC